This 3853-nucleotide long non-coding RNA is filed under the name Equus caballus (horse). RNAcentral describes it as "lncRNA (ENSECAG00000047933.1)". The record is from RNAcentral. Lineage: Eukaryota; Metazoa; Chordata; Mammalia; Perissodactyla; Equidae.
AGAGACAGGAACCAUUCCCAAGUAUUCAUUAUAAUGUAUCUUGUUAAAGAAUAUCUGUCACCAGAAUUCUAAAAUCUUUAUAAACAGUGGUAAAAAUGUGAAAUACUGAUAUUGUAACACCAAUUAAGCCUACCAUUUUUCCCAAUGUAUUCAAUGUUUUAAAGGAGGCUAUUUCUCUUUGCAAUCUUUCCAGGUAGACUCACAGAAAGCCAACCAUUUCAUAGAACUAGAUCUGUGCAACUGAGUGGAGAUCGGGCUGCCCAUGGCUGAGACGUAGGGACCACCCUCCCUCACACAGCAAAGGCAUGCUUGCAGGGACUGCGUGCCAUUCACAUUUGUUUUUCUAGACCCUUACACACAUCUGAACAUUAAAGAUGCCCAAGAAAUCCUCAAUGAAAAGAAAAAGGUGCAGAGACUCAGUGAAUGUAUACGGCUUCUCCUUAGUCUCAAUUUUUCGUGCUUUCUCUCCUUCCGCACUCUCAGCCUCUUUUUAUUCUCCUCCUUUCUUCUUGUGCUAGGAGCUUGGGAGGACCCAUGAUGGUUCCUCCUUCAAGUAGAGUGAAAAAAGGAGGGCUAUAGGCUAUAACUCUUUUCUAUUUAAAAUUCCUUUGGGCUGAAAGAGGAAAGCAGAGGGCAUUAUCACAAACUGUGAAGCACAGACCACCAAUAUCCUUCUGUUGGAGGAGGUCAUGGAGAGGAGGUGACCACUGGCUGACCUGUGAGCAGGAGCUGGGCAAUCAGAGGCUCCUCACUCCUCUCCUGUGCUUGGAAUGUGUGUUUGGCCCACUGUUCCCACAGCUGGAGCCAUUUUCAAGGUGUAGCCUUGAGCUAGUAAGGUGUUGUAGAGGCCACCUGGAUGGCAUUAAGGCCUCUAUAUAAACUUUAUGUUUCUGGCGGUUGGGUGCGUAGAUCUACUCGUCUUGUGACUGCUAAGACAAGCCUUAUAUGGCAGCCUGUUCAGGGAGCCAAGAGCCCCUUUCCAGUGACCUGUAAGAGGGGCCCCUCCUUGUUUGGGACAGCCCCCAGGGAAAGAGACGCUGCCCAACUGAACCAGCUGAUCAUCCUAGAACUAACUGCUCCCCAGACUGCCGUCCCUCCUCGCUGGGGGCCACCUCUCCUGGUCAAGUCAGCUGCUAUGACAGAUGAACACAGACUGGGCAGCUUAAACAACAGACAUUUGUUGCUCACAGGUCCCGAGGCUGGAAGCGUGAAAUUGGGGUGUCUGCAUGGCCGUGUUUUGGUGAGGGCUCUCUUCCUGACUUGUGGAUGGCUGUGUGCUUCCUGGCAUCAUGCUGUGUGCUCAAAGAUGGAGUAAAGAAGACUGCCCUCCAACGUGGGUGGAUCUCAGCCAAUUGUCCAGGACUGGAAGAGGAAAAAAAGGUGGAAGGAAGGGAAAGUUGGUUUUGUCUGCCUGGCUGUUGAGCUGGAACAUGGAUCUUCCCCUGCCCUCAGACCAGGACCCGCACCAUCAUUUCUCCUGGUUCUCAGGCUUUUGAUUUGGACUGGAACUAUGCCACCAGCUCUCCUGGGUCUCCAGCAUGUAGAUGGCAGAUCAUGGGACUUCUGGGCUUCCAUAACCACGUCUUCCUCACCGAGUUCACCCCUCCGAUGCUCCUAGCGACUGUGUUACAAACACUGAACUGACACUGCAUGUGUUUUUUUCCCCUAGAGAUUGAGCAAUAAUCCACUUACCACUUCUAAACAGGACACAUGUUAUUGUCACAGAAAGCUGCCCUAAGGGAUGCUGCAGAGCCGCCUAGCUUAAAAUCACCCUAUAUUCUUUCUUUCUGACGUAUGAUUUUUAGCUAUUGUUAUAUAGAUCAUGUUGAUGUAGUAAUUGCAUUUUCUCUGGUUUUUAGAACUCCUUUACAUUUGUUAAAUCAGAAAUCCCUUCCGAACAGAAGUUUUCUGUUGUAUGUGACCAGCAUCUGCAUGAUUCAACUCACAAUGGUGCUUGAGGAAGUCGAUAUUAAUCCAGUGGUUAUCGCUGGGGAGUGGGGAUCAAAUGAGGGGUAGAGAGUUUUAUUUUCUAUUUCAUAAGCUUCUGUGUUGUUCAUUUAUUGUCACCAUAAGCAGAUGUCACAUUUCUAAUAACACAUAAAGGAAAUAUUUUCACAACGUGCACAAACAGUUGCAAAGAGGGUUAAAUUGGUAAAUCCCUCAGUUAUGCAUCCCAGGGAUCAGUCCCUUUCGAGGUACAAUUUAAUGGAAUCGAAGUCUAAUUCAAUUUUUGGACUUGCUUUCUGGGAGUCCUAGUUGCUCUGUGUUAGAAUGAUUGUGAGAUCCCCUGGGAAUUGCUUUCUGAGUACAAAACUUCAGAGAGUGGGAAGGAGCUGUUCCUGCUGCUGAAGGCAUUUGUUACACAUUUUCAGAAAUGAAUUUGAAGACAUUGCAAAGGCGAUAUUCUUUUUGCCAGUGUUUGAAUGAUUUUUAAAUAACAAUCUACUGGAAGUUUUUAAAUUUGGUAUUGCUGUUUAAUAUUAAUGAGCUUCCACAGUGUUAUCUAUCAUUCAUAAUAAAAAAAAAUCUCUCUGUAUAAGGAGAUACAAAGUUAUGCCGCCAUCAGGAUGAUUUUAAGUUAAAGGGAAAAUAAUCCUACCAACCUACAGAAAGACUGUAACCCUGUCUUUGUGUAGAUUUUCUUCCAAGCAUUUUGGUCAAAAUAUUUUUUAAGCUAGCCAUGUAGAUGGGAAGAAUGCAAGUCUUCUGAGAGUCAAUGAAUAUUCUGGAAAAUGUUUCAUUCAAUGAGUACAUUAAUUAGACUCUCUUGAUUCGAGGUGACAGAAACUGAAGUAGCAUAAGUGGAAAAGGUAAUAUAUUUGCUCAUGAAACUAAGUAUGGGGUAGGGGGUAUACAUGAUGAGUUUUAGGUGUGACUUGUUCCAGGGGCUCCAGCAACGUUGUUGGGCCUCUGUCUCUCUCUCUGCUUCUCUUGGCUCUGUUUCACUUAAAUGUUGGCUUCACUCUCAGGCAUGUUUUGACUGUAUGACGGGAAAGAUCACUCCUGGCUAGUGGGUGGGAGUGCCAAACUUGUUCCAAAAGGAAGAGAAAGCCACUCUUUUUCCCACAGUCCAUAUAGCAAAACCCAGGAAAGAUUCUAAUCGAACCUAUUGAAACGACCCCUGCCAGGGAGAUGGAGUUCAUUGGUUGGCCAGGUUGCAUCACCUUCCUGCUAUGAUGGGGGUUUGGGUGGGCCUCAUGGUGAACAACCCCACCAGGACAACGUGGAGUGGAGGAGGGGUUGUUCUAAAAAGAGAAGUCAUUGGAUGGACAAACCACAGUACCCACCAUGGAAAGCCACUUCCCUGGGAUCUGAUAAAUUCAUCAGCACCUAGGGAGACUGCCUAAUGGUAAUUACAUUCAGGCACUUGAUAAUUAAGUUGAUAUUGCAUUCUCUUAACUUUCAGUUCUAGCCUAGUAGUUGUAAAAAAUUACUUAGUUAUAAAUCACUUAGAACUCUUGCCACUUUUGUUCAACACAGUGUUGGAAGUCCUAGCCAGAAGCAAUUAGGCAAGAAAAAUAAAUAAAAGACAUCCAAAUCGGAAAGAAAGAAGUAAAACUGUCACUAUUUGCAGAUGACAUAUUAUAUACAGAAAACCCUAAAGACUCUCUCAAAAAACUGUUAGAACUAGUAAACAAAUUCAGUAAAGUUGUAGGAUACAAAAUCAAUAUGCAAAAACCUGUUGUAUUUCUAUACACUAAUAACAAACAAUAUAUCAGAGAAAUAAAGAAAACAAUCCCAUUGACAAUUUCAUCAAAAAGAAUAAGAUACCUAGGAAUAAAUUUAACUAAUGCAGUGAAAGAUCUGUAUAUUAAAAACUAUAAGGCAUUAGUGAAAGAAAUUGGAGAAAAAU